GCGAGGGCUGUCGCUGACCUUUCAGGUCGUGCACGCCCAAGUGCUCUCACACAUCCAUCUCACCCCUAUGUGCACCACCGCGUGGGUCCCCCUUUGGCUCGUUCGAAGGGGGGCUUACGUUUUCACACAAACUUUGUAUGCAGUGUAGAAUGUAUUUUUGUUUUGCGAUCACGCGAUCAAUACAACUUUCAACAACGGAUCUCUUGGCUCUCGCAUCGAUGAAGAACGCAGCGAAAUGCGAUACGUAAUGUGAAUUGCAGAAUUCAGUGAAUCAUCGAAUCUUUGAACGCACCUUGCGCCCCUUGGCAUUCCGAGGGGCACACCCGUUUGAGUGUCGUGAAAUUCUCAAAACCUUUUUCUUUGGGAAAAGGUUUUGGACUUGGAGGCCUUUUGCUGGUUUCACCUUGAAGCGAGCUCCUCCUAAAUGAAUUAGUGGGGUCUGCUUUGCCGAUCCUUGACGUGAUAAGAUGUUUCUGCGUCUUGGGUUCGGCACUGUCACCUGCUUCCAACUGUCUCAUUGACGACGAUGGCGCUCCGGUCACCACCGCUCUGUCGGUGGGAGGCUUGACCCACAAAAAAAAACCUUGACCUCAAAUCGGGUGAGACUACCCGCUGAACUUAAGCAUAUCAAUAAGCGGAGGAAAAGAAACUAACAAGGAUUCCCCUAGUAACUGCGAGUGAAGCGGGAAAAGCUCAAAUUUAAAAUCUGGKGGCCUUUGGCCAUCCGAGUUGUAAUUUARAGAAGCGUCUUCCGCGCUGGACCGUGUA
This 768-nucleotide ribosomal RNA is filed under the name uncultured Russula. RNAcentral describes it as "eukaryotic LSU rRNA". The stretch from base 184 to 337 matches the Rfam family "5.8S ribosomal RNA". Lineage: Eukaryota; Fungi; Basidiomycota; Agaricomycetes; Russulales; Russulaceae. The record is from RNAcentral.